GCCAGGCGUGGUGGCGCACGCCUGUAAUCCCAGCUACUCGGGAGGCUGAGGCAGGAUAAUUGCUUGAACCCAGGAGGUGGAGGCUGCAGUGAGCAGAGAUCAUGCCACUGCACUCCAGCCUGGGCAACAGAGCAAGACUGUGUCUCAA
Unclassified non-coding RNA from Papio anubis (olive baboon), 148 nucleotides. It matches the Rfam family "Metazoan signal recognition particle RNA". Rfam says of the family: The signal recognition particle (SRP) is a universally conserved ribonucleoprotein. It is involved in the co-translational targeting of proteins to membranes. NCBI's taxonomy places the organism in Eukaryota, Metazoa, Chordata, Mammalia, Primates, Cercopithecidae. The record is from Ensembl.